Molecule: small nuclear RNA, 104 nt
Organism: Mastomys coucha (southern multimammate mouse)
Lineage: Eukaryota; Metazoa; Chordata; Mammalia; Rodentia; Muridae
Source: RefSeq, a predicted model, not a curated record
GUGCUCGUUUCUGUAGCGCAUAUACAAAAACUGGAUGUAGAGAGAUAAUUAGCAUGGCCCUGCACAAGGGUGACAUGAAAAUUGGUAAAGUGUUCCAUAUUUUU